AGAGUUUGAUCCUGGCUCAGAACGAACGCUGGCGGCAUGCCUAAUACAUGCAAGUCGAACGAGAUCUUCGGAUCUAGUGGCGCACGGGUGCGUAACGCGUGGGAAUCUGCCCUUGGGUUCGGAAUAACUUCUGGAAACGGAAGCUAAUACCGGAUGAUGACGUAAGUCCAAAGAUUUAUCGCCCAAGGAUGAGCCCGCGUAGGAUUAGCUAGUUGGUGAGGUAAAGGCUCACCAAGGCGACGAUCCUUAGCUGGUCUGAGAGGAUGAUCAGCCACACUGGGACUGAGACACGGCCCAGACUCCUACGGGAGGCAGCAGUAGGGAAUAUUGGACAAUGGGCGAAAGCCUGAUCCAGCAAUGCCGCGUGAGUGAUGAAGGCCUUAGGGUUGUAAAGCUCUUUUACCCGGGAUGAUAAUGACAGACCGGGAGAAU
RNAcentral lists this ribosomal RNA (432 nucleotides) under Sphingobium yanoikuyae. Its description in RNAcentral is "bacterial SSU rRNA". It matches the Rfam family "Bacterial small subunit ribosomal RNA", at positions 8 to 487 of the family's 1533-position model. The record is from RNAcentral. Lineage: Bacteria; Pseudomonadati; Pseudomonadota; Alphaproteobacteria; Sphingomonadales; Sphingobiaceae.